RNAcentral lists this transfer RNA (102 nucleotides) under Pseudozyma hubeiensis SY62. It matches the Rfam family "tRNA". From Rfam's summary of the family: Transfer RNA (tRNA) molecules are approximately 80 nucleotides in length. Their secondary structure includes four short double-helical elements and three loops (D, anti-codon, and T loops). Lineage: Eukaryota; Fungi; Basidiomycota; Ustilaginomycetes; Ustilaginales; Ustilaginaceae. The record is from Rfam by way of RNAcentral.
GCAGUCUUAGUAUAGUGGUUAGUACAGCUCGUUGUGGAAUUGGGUCAAUUGAUCCGUUUCUUCUGAGCCGAGCAGACGGAUGUUCGAUUCCUCCAGACUGCA